AGAUUCCAUUAAAUAUUCUUAUAAUUUAGCUAUACCAAGAAAAGAGAUGUAUGGAUCUUUCUAAAUUGAUAUAUUAAAUUUAAACUUUCAAUGCAUUUUACAUAUUUAAUUAUGAUUUAUAUACAUUUUAUUUGCAUUUCUGUUCUGAAAAUCAAUCAUUCGCAAAGGGUAAAUAUCUUUCCAAUGUUAACUUGCACUUACUUUACUAGAGAAUUUUUGUAAAAAAUUUAUUAUAAAAAUACAUUUUAAGAUAGAAAUAAACUUCUAACCUUUCAGACACUGAAAAAACAACACAAUGUUAUUCCAUCAUUUUUCUCAUCGAGGCCCGACUAUCCAAAUAGUCGGACAUGUACAUAUUGCUAACAUUUUUGGCCGGUGCUGAUCAUCCGUUUAGCAUGACCUUCUUACAGAAACACAUUAUUUCGCAUCUGUAAAAAUUGUUACAACAUUUUGAUACUAAACAAGAGGGCCAAGAUGGCACUAGAUCGCUCACCUGACCCAGCGAACUCAUCCGAGCAUUUACUAAGACAAGCAUCCUGAACAAGUUUGAUGACAAUUGAGUCAAAACUGUGACCUCUAGGGUGUUAACAAGGUUUUUCCAUAUUUGGGCAGAGUGACCUAGUUUUUGAGGUGACCAAUAUUAGAACUUGACCUAGAAAUCAUCAAAACAAACUUGCGGACCAAUUUCCACGAUAUUUGGAUAACAACAGAAGCCACUAGAGAGUGAACAAGAUUUUUCUAUUCUUAGCUUCUGUGACCUAGUUUUUCAUCAAAGAUAACCCAUGUUUGAACUCCCCCAAGCAAUACACUAGACAAACAUCCUGACCAAGUUUGAUGACAAAUGAGUCAAAAAGAGUCAAAUAUGUUACCAUUUGAGUAUUAACAAGAGUUUCCACAGUUGGACGGUGUGACAUAGUUUUUUAUCCCAGGCAACCAAAAUUAAAGCUUGACCAAGAAAACAUCAAAACAAACUUCCUGAUCAAUUUCCAGGAUAUUUAGAUCAAAACAGUAGCCACUAGAAUGUUAACAAGACCUUUUUUAUUUUUAGCUCCUGUGAACUAGUUUUUGACCCGAGGCAACCCAUAUUCGAACUUGACCUAGAAAUCAUCAAAACAACAUUCCUGACCGAUGUUCAGAAUAUUUGGGUUACAACUGCAACCACUAAUUACGUGUUAUAAUUGUGUUAACAUUUUUUUCUAUUUUUAGCUCCUGUGACCUUUUUUAUGACCUCAGACGACCAAUUUUCGAACUUGAACUAGAAAUCAUUUAAAAACAAUCUCACUGAUCAUUUUCCAGAACAUUUGGAUCAAAACUGCCGCCACUAAAGCGUUAACAAUAAUUUUUUAUUUUUAGCUCAUGUAACCUUGUUUUUGACCCGAGACAACCCAUAUUUGAAUCUAACUGAGAAACCCUCUAUCAAAACAACCUUCCUGACCAUUUACAAGAAUAUUUGCAUCAAAACUGCAGCCACCAGAGUGUUAACAAGAUUUUUUUUAUAUUUUUAUCUCCUGUGACCUAUAUUUUGAUCGGAGGUGACCCAUAUUCGAACCUGACCUGGAAAUCAUCAAAACAACCUUUCUGACCAAUUUUCAGGAUAUUUGGAUCAGAACUGCAGCCACUAGAGUGUUAACAAUUUUCUUCUAUUUUUAGCUCCUGUGACCUAGUUUCUAACCGGAAAUGACAAAUGUUCGAACUCAUCCGAGCAAUUACCUUGACAAGCAUCCUGACAAAGUUUGAGGCAAAAAUGUGACUGAUUGAGGCAAAAAUGUGACAACUAUAGUGUUAACGAACAAAUGUGGACGGACGAUGGACGACGUCCAACGGACGACGAACAUUAACGAUCCUAAAGGCUCACCCUGAGCUAGUUAAGGAAAACUUACAAUGCUACAGGUACCGUAGACAGUUUCAAAUUAUAAUGAUGAAGAAGAAGAAAAAAUGAGGUUGAUUACAGAAAUAAAUUGAUGUGUGUACAACAGACAUUAAAUAAUAUGGAUAGUUGUGUGCCACAGUGAAGCCUUGAAUGUUUUUUUAAAGACUGCAUGUGUGAAUGACAUGAUUUAUCAAAUAACAAUACGGAUACUUAUUUUUGAAAAAACAGAAACAGUUAUCUUAAAUAAAUGUUUUGUUUUAUUUUUUCUCAACUUGGUAGACAUUUAUUAUUUUUUGUAUUUGUGUUACAUGUAUAUAGUAAUGUUUGUUAAGACGACUUUUAAAUCUAGAAAUAAGGUGAAAUGAAUAAAUUAAUUCUAUUA
Molecule: long non-coding RNA, 2252 nt
Organism: Ruditapes philippinarum (Manila clam)
Lineage: Eukaryota; Metazoa; Mollusca; Bivalvia; Venerida; Veneridae
Exons: 3
Source: RefSeq, a predicted model, not a curated record